GCUCAGGAUGAACGCUGGCGGCGUGCCUAACACAUGCAAGUCGAACGAAGCAAUUAAAUGAAGUUUUCGGAUGGAAUUUGAUUGACUGAGUGGCGGACGGGUGAGUAACGCGUGGAUAACCUGCCUCACACUGGGGGAUAACAGUUAGAAAUGACUGCUAAUACCGCAUAAGCGCACAGUACCGCAUGGUACGGUGUGAAAAACUCCGGUGGUGUGAGAUGGAUCCGCGUCUGAUUAGCCAGUUGGCGGGGUAACGGCCCACCAAAGCGACGAUCAGUAGCCGACCUGAGAGGGUGACCGGCCACAUUGGGACUGAGACACGGCCCAAACUCCUACGGGAGGCAGCAGUA
This 350-nucleotide ribosomal RNA is filed under the name uncultured bacterium. RNAcentral describes it as "bacterial SSU rRNA". It matches the Rfam family "Bacterial small subunit ribosomal RNA", at positions 22 to 356 of the family's 1533-position model. The record is from RNAcentral.